This is an RNA transcript of Arabidopsis lyrata subsp. lyrata, 1491 nucleotides long. It is a transcript of the gene named paired amphipathic helix protein Sin3-like 3, with no coding region annotated. The transcript has 6 exons. Lineage: Eukaryota; Viridiplantae; Streptophyta; Magnoliopsida; Brassicales; Brassicaceae. The record is from RefSeq and is a predicted model, not a curated record.
AAAAAACGAAGAAAAGAAAAAAGAAAAAGAAAUUAUAAAUAUAAAUAGAAAAUCUUACCUAACCUGAGGAAUCAUAAUUCAUAAACAAAACCCUAUCGAGAGAUUUCUCCUAGAAACUCUUCUCUCCUGCUUCGUGACCGUGAUCGUGAUCGUGAAGCCUUCUUCAUUCGUCUCCGAAACUCGCUUUCCUAAACUUCAAACCAUGGUUGGAGAUGGAGGUGCACACAAGCCUACUACAAAUGUCGCGUUUGAAUACCUUAAAGCCGUGAAGGCUAAAUUUCAGGAUCAACAUGAAAAAUAUGACGAAUUUCUUGAGAUCAUGAAUGAUUUUAAAUGUCGGAGAGUUGAUAGACUUGAUGUCAUAAUAAGGAUGAAAGAACUCUUGAAAGAGCACAAAGAGUUACUUUUGGGUUUCAAUACCUUCUUGCCAAAGGGUUUUAGGAUCACACUCCUACCCGAUGAUCAUGAACAACCUUCACAUAAGGAACCCGAUUUUAAGGAUGCUCUUACUUUUAUUACAAAGGUUCAGACGAGGUUUCAAGGCGGUCGUGCAUACAAAUCAUUUUUAGACAUUUUAAGCAUCUACAGAAAUGAGAGAAAUUUAAAGUCCCUCACCCAGGUCUACGAUGAGGUUUCCAUCUUAUUUCGGGAUCAUACGGAUUUGCUUGCGGAGUUUAAUCGCUUUCUGCCUGCAACUUCACCAACAACCUCUCUUCAUUCUGCUACAGACUCAAGUUCGUGACAGAGAGAUUUCUGAGUCUAUGAUGCAUCAAAUGAACUAUAACAGGACAAAAAGUGUCUACUUUUGGCAUAGAUCAUCCUCAUUUGCUUGAGGAGUCGAAUUUCUUUCUGCCAACUACUUCUCAGAGUUCAGUUUGUGACCAAAGGAUUGCUAUGUUACUUCAUUCGCUUCACAUAUACGUAGUUUUUUUCUUUCAAGUCAGAGAUACUAAUAGAGGUUUUUUUCUUCUUUAAAUGAUUAGUACAGCUUUUUUACCUUAUUAAUUAUAGUCUGUAUCAAAAUUCAAAUUUAUUAUCAUUUAGUUAUUUACAUGCUUACCUAUGAAUCGACUAUGUGUAUGAAGAAGGUUAGGGGGUUUAUUUUCUGCCUAUCAAUCCGGCGGCAACAUGAGGAUAAGUUUUAUCGGAAUUGUUCUACAAACAAAACGACAAAGUUUUCGGUCUACCGGAAAUAUCAUUACGCCGAUAAAAAAUAUUUAAAUUAAAUUUGAAAAGCGAUAAAUAUGUUCCGUGUUAUGGUUUUUAGAUAAGUUAGAGUUAAAUCCUUCUUCUAUUAGUAAUGCUAGCGAAACAGAUUUUAAGUUUUAAGCAAAAUCUAACCGUAUCAAUUUAGAUUCAAUUUACACCAAUUAUUUUAGUUAUAUUUUUUUUUGCCAUCCCUAAAAUUAAUAGUUAUGAUAAUCUUGCAUUAAGGAAUUAUUAAAAAUAAAAAAAUAUUUAAUAUGAUUAAUCAUUUUUAAGUUACAAAAU